Triticum aestivum (bread wheat) is the source of this 1816-nucleotide RNA transcript. It is a transcript of the gene named pentatricopeptide repeat-containing protein At2g17670, with no coding region annotated. NCBI's taxonomy places the organism in Eukaryota, Viridiplantae, Streptophyta, Magnoliopsida, Poales, Poaceae. The transcript is spliced from 3 exons. The record is from RefSeq and is a predicted model, not a curated record.
GGGCUGAGAUCCGGGCUCCCGCGUGCCAAAGCCCACCCGGCACCCCACAGUCGUAUUCUCAUCCCCAUUCCUCGCCGCUCUCCCGCGCCUCCGCCGCCGCCGCCAAGGAUGGGGAGGGUGCCGGCGCAAGCCAUGCGCGCCGCCAAGGUCCCCCGCCACGCCCUCGUCCCGAAGCCCUCCGCGGCGUCCACCCCGCCGCCCCCUCCCCCGCCACCACAGGGGCCUCGUCCCGCCGACGGUAAACCUCCCCACGGCAAGCCGCCCCGGAGAACCCCCAGGGGCCCCUCCGAGCACGCGGGGGCCCUGGCCCUGCCGGACCGGCCAGCGCCGCCGGCCGAGAAGAGGCCCAUCACCACGCCCGCGGAGCUCUCGGCGGCCAUCCGCGCCGCGGUGGACGCCGACGUGGACGCGGCCGCCUCGCUCGCGCUCAAGGCCGCGCCCACCAUCCCGCUCCCUGCGCAGUCGCUCGCCCUCAUCCUCCGCCGCCUCGCCGCGCAUCGCUCCGUCGCCGCGGCGCGGGACCUCCUCGCGGAGCUCCCGUACUCCGCCGACAACCCCGCGCCGCGCCCGGCGCUGCUGGCCCUCGCUGACGCCUGCUGCCGCCGCGGCGACCCGCGCGAGAUCGGGCAGCUCCUCCCGGUGCUCGCCGACCACGGCGUCCGCGCCGACGCCCACGUCUACAACGCCCUCAUGAAGGGGCACUGCGCCGACUCCGACACCGCGGGGCUCCUUGGCGUGCUCCGCCGGAUGAAGGACGACGGCGUGGACCCCGACCUCGUCACCUACAACACCCUCGUCUACGGCCUCGCGCGCGCCGGGCUCGUCGCCAAGGCCAGGACCUACCUGGACGCCAUGGCUGCCCAGGGCCUCUUCCCGGACGUCAUCACCUACACCUCGCUCAUGAACGGGAUGUGCGUCAAGGGCGACGCCCUUGGCGCGCUCAAGCUGCUUGAGGAAAUGCAGGCCAAUGGGUGCGAGCCCAAUGACCGGACGUACAACACGCUGCUCAUGGGGCUCUGCAGGAACAGGAAGCUGGACAAGGCCUUCGAGGUGUACAAGUCCAUUGUAGGGGCUGGGAUGAAGCUCGAGCCGCCGGCGUACGCGACGUUCAUCAGGGCAUUGUGUCGGGCGGGGAGGGUUCCAGAUGCAUAUGAGGUUUUUGAUUACGGGAUCGAGAGCAAGAGCUUUGCACAGGCGACCGCGUACAGUGAGCUCGAGAGCUCGCUCAAGUGGCUCCGCAAGAUGAAGGAGUAGGAUGAAGGCGCGAGGAAGGCUAAUAAGGCACCUGAUUCAAUGUAAAUUGUAAGGCAACGGGAGAAGCGUGUUUUUGUGGAGCAAGUUCAAGCGCAUCUUGAAGAAACAGUGACACAUUCAUCCUGCAGUGAGAUGUUGCUUACCUAUGACAACAAACCAUGUGAACCAUCCUUCCUUCUCCAUGAUAACCAUCACCAUUAUACAGAAGAUCAUGGUUUUAACCCUUGGGACGGGUGAGGAGUUGCGAUGCGGCACAAUAUCGCUUUCGCAACAUCGGACUGGAAGGGUUUUCAUCAUGAAACAGGAAAGAAGAACACACUGGACUGCUUUUGACCCCAGGAGGAUCAGAUUUGCUGUACCUAUGUGAAUGGACCAACCGGGAUCUUGAUUCCGGAAGCGGCUCGGGGAGAGGUGGAGGGUUGCUGCCUGUUUACGGAGUUGAGCAGAGGAUUCGUGGAAACAGAGCCACUGUGUUGCAUAAAAUCGUUCAUUUUUUGGGUGUGUGACAGAUUUUGGUGGACUGGGAAUCGGAUUUCUCAUGCUGACGGUCGUUUUUUUUAAA